This 468-nucleotide ribosomal RNA is filed under the name uncultured bacterium. Its description in RNAcentral is "partial 16S ribosomal RNA". It matches the Rfam family "Bacterial small subunit ribosomal RNA", at positions 28 to 507 of the family's 1533-position model. The record is from RNAcentral.
GACGAACGCUGGCGGCGUGCUUAACACAUGCAAGUCGAACGGAAAGGCCCUGCUUUUGUGGGGUGCUCGAGUGGCGAACGGGUGAGUAACACGUGAGUAACCUGCCCUUGACUUUGGGAUAACUUCAGGAAACUGGGGCUAAUACCGGAUAGGAGCUCCUGCUGCAUGGUGGGGGUUGGAAAGUUUCGGCGGUUGGGGAUGGACUCGCGGCUUAUCAGCUUGUUGGUGGGGUAGUGGCUUACCAAGGCUUUGACGGGUAGCCGGCCUGAGAGGGUGACCGGCCACAUUGGGACUGAGGUACGGCCCAGACUCCUACGGGAGGCAACGGUGGGGAAUAUUGCACAAUGGGCGGAAGCCUGAUGCAGCGACGCCGCGUGCGGGAAGACGGCCUUCGGGUUGUAAACCGCUUUCGCCUGUGACGAAGCGUGAGUGACGGUAAUGGGUAAAGAAGCACCGGCUAACUACGUG